Molecule: transfer RNA, 86 nt
Filed under: Candidatus Altimarinota bacterium
Lineage: Bacteria; Candidatus Altimarinota
Also listed under: 2 other names
Description: tRNA-Leu
Rfam family: tRNA
About the family: Transfer RNA (tRNA) molecules are approximately 80 nucleotides in length. Their secondary structure includes four short double-helical elements and three loops (D, anti-codon, and T loops).
Source: RNAcentral
GCCGGGGUGGUGGAAUUGGUAGACACGAAGGACUUAAAAUCCUUUGGGACUUAACUCCCGUGCCGGUUCGAUUCCGGUCCUCGGCA